GACGAACGCUGGCGGCGUGCUUAACACAUGCAAGUCGAACGGAAAGGCCCUGCUUUUGUGGGGUGCUCGAGUGGCGAACGGGUGAGUAACACGUGAGUAACCUGCCCUUUACUUUGGGAUAACUUCAGGAAACUGGGGCUAAUACCGGAUAGGAGCUCCUGCUGCAUGGUGGGGGUUGGAAAGUUUCGGCGGUUGGGGAUGGACUCGCGGCUUAUCAGCUUGUUGGUGGGGUAGUGGCUUACCAAGGCUUUGACGGGUAGCCGGCCUGAGAGGGUGACCGGCCACAUUGGGACUGAGAUACGGCACAGACUACUACGGGAGGCAGCAGUGGGGAAUAUUGCACAAUGGGCGGAAGCCUGAUGCAGCAACGCCGCGUGCGGGAUGACGGCCUUCGGGUUGUAAACCGCUUUCGCCUGUGACGAAGCGUGAGUGACGGUAAUGGGUAAAGAAGCACCGGCUAACUACGUG
Molecule: ribosomal RNA, 468 nt
Filed under: uncultured bacterium
Lineage: Bacteria
Description: partial 16S ribosomal RNA
Rfam family: Bacterial small subunit ribosomal RNA
Source: RNAcentral